This 292-nucleotide ribosomal RNA is filed under the name uncultured bacterium. Its description in RNAcentral is "partial 16S ribosomal RNA". It matches the Rfam family "Bacterial small subunit ribosomal RNA", at positions 505 to 796 of the family's 1533-position model. The record is from RNAcentral.
GUGCCAGCCGCCGCGGUAAGACGAACCGUGCGAACGUUGUUCGGAUUCACUGGGCUUAAAGGGCGCGUAGGCGGGCAUCAAAGUCAGGGGUGAAAUCUUUCGGCCCAACCGGAAAAGUGCCUCUGAUACUGGGUGCCUCGAGGGAGGUAGGGGCGUGUGGAACUUCCGGUGGAGCGGUGAAAUGCGUAGAUAUCGGAAGGAACGCCGGUGGCGAAAGCGACGCGCUGGACCUCUUCUGACGCUGAGGCGCGAAAGCUAGGGGAGCAAACGGGAUUAGAAACCCCCGUAGUCC